Molecule: ribosomal RNA, 213 nt
Filed under: Dendrobium loddigesii
Lineage: Eukaryota; Viridiplantae; Streptophyta; Magnoliopsida; Asparagales; Orchidaceae
Description: partial 26S ribosomal RNA
Rfam family: Eukaryotic large subunit ribosomal RNA
Source: RNAcentral
GCGACCCCAGGAUGGGCGAGGCCACCCGCCGAGUUUAAGCAUAUCAAUAAGCGGAGGAGAAGAAACUUACGAGGAUUCCCUUAGUAACGGCGAGCGAACCGGGAAAGGCCCAGCAUUGGAAUCGAGCUGUCGUUCAGCCGCUCGAAUUGUAGUCUGGAGAAGCGUCCUCAGCGACGGACCGGGCCCAAGUCCCCUGGAAAGGGGCGCCGGGGA